GUGGGGAAUCUUCCGCAAUGGACGAAAGUCUGACGGAGCAACGCCGCGUGAGUGAAGAAGGUUUUCGGAUCGUAAAGCUCUUUCGUUAGGGACGAACGUGCUCUUUGUGAAUAAUGAGGAGUAAUGACGGUACCUAAAUAAGAAGCCACGGCUAACUACGUGCCAUCAGCCGCGGUAAUACGUAGGUGGAAAGCGUUGUCCGGAAUUAUUGGGCGUAAAGCGCGCGCAGGCGGGAUAUCAAGUCUGGCUUAAAAGUGCGAGGCUCAACCUCGUGAGGGGACAGAAAAUGGUAUUCUUGAGGGUCGGAGAGGAAAGUGGAAUUCCAAGUGUAGCGGUGAAAUGCGUAGAGAUUUGGAAGAACACCAGUGGCGAAGGCGACUUUCUGGACGAUGUCUGACGCUGAGGCGCGAAAGCUAGGGGAGCGAACGGGAUUAGAAACCCCUGUAGUCC
RNAcentral lists this ribosomal RNA (450 nucleotides) under uncultured bacterium. RNAcentral describes it as "partial 16S ribosomal RNA". It matches the Rfam family "Bacterial small subunit ribosomal RNA", at positions 354 to 796 of the family's 1533-position model. The record is from RNAcentral.